AGAGUUUGAUCAUGGCUCAGGACGAACGCUGGCGGCGUGCCUAAUACAUGCAAGUCGAGCGAACCAUUAAAAGCUUAGCUUUUGUGGUUAGCGGCGGACGGGUGAGUAACACGUGGGCAACCUGCCUGUAAGACCGGGAUAACUCGCGGAAACGUGAGCUAAUACCGGAUAAUUUCUUUCCUUGCAUAAGGGAAGACUGAAAGACGGCUUUUGCUGUCACUUACAGAUGGGCCCGCGGCGCAUUAGCUAGUUGGUGAGGUAACGGCUCACCAAGGCGACGAUGCGUAGCCGACCUGAGAGGGUGAUCGGCCACACUGGGACUGAGACACGGCCCAGACUCCUACGGGAGGCAGCAGUAGGGAAUCUUCCGCAAUGGACGAAAGUCUGACGGAGCAACGCCGCGUGAGUGAUGAAGGUCUUCGGAUCGUAAAACUCUGUUGUCAGGGAAGAACAAGUACCGGAGUAACUGCCGGUACCUUGACGGUACCUGACCAGAAAGCCACGGCUAACUACGUGCCAGCAGCCGCGGUAAUACGUAGGUGGCAAGCGUUGUCCGGAAUUAUUGGGCGUAAAGCGCGCGCAGGCGGUCUUUUAAGUCUGAUGUGAAAGCCCCCGGCUCAACCGGGGAGGGUCAUUGGAAACUGGGAGACUUGAGUGCAGAAGAGAAGAGUGGAAUUCCACGUGUAGCGGUGAAAUGCGUAGAGAUGUGGAGGAACACCAGUGGCGAAGGCGACUCUUUGGUCUGUAACUGACGCUGAGGCGCGAAAGCGUGGGGAGCGAACAGGAUUAGAUACCCUGGUAGUCCACGCCGUAACGAUGAGUGCUAAGUGUUAGAGGGUUUCCGCCCUUUAGUGCUGCAGCAAACGCAUUAAGCACUCCGCCU
Molecule: ribosomal RNA, 883 nt
Filed under: uncultured bacterium
Lineage: Bacteria
Description: bacterial SSU rRNA
Rfam family: Bacterial small subunit ribosomal RNA
Source: RNAcentral